GACGAACGCUGGCGGCGUGCUUAACACAUGCAAGUCGAACGAAGUGGCGAACGGGUGAGUAAUGCGUAAUCAACCUGCCCUUCAGAGGGGGACAACAGUGGGAAACGACUGCUAAUACCGCAUAGGGAAGGAGGGGAAUGUGUCUGAUUGGCUAGUUGGGGGGGUAACGGCCAACCGAAGCGAUGAUCAGUCGCCGGGCUGGGAGGAGGGACGGCCCCCUUGGGACUGGGGCACGGCCCAGACUCCUACGGGAGGCAGCCGUGGGGAAUCUUCCGAAAUGGGCGGAAGUCUGAAGGCGCAACGCCGCGUGGGUUAUGACGGCCUUCGGGUUGUUAAGCUCUGUUAAUCGGGACGCGGUACCGGAAUAGGAAGCCACGGCUAACUACGUGCCAGCAGCCGCGGUAAUAC
Molecule: ribosomal RNA, 408 nt
Filed under: uncultured bacterium
Lineage: Bacteria
Description: partial 16S ribosomal RNA
Rfam family: Bacterial small subunit ribosomal RNA
Source: RNAcentral